GCUCGGGUGGUGGAAUGGCAGACACACCAGAUUUAGGUUCUGGCGCCGUAAGGUAUGCGGGUUCGACUCCCGCCCCGAGCACCC
This 84-nucleotide transfer RNA is filed under the name Verrucomicrobiota bacterium. RNAcentral describes it as "Verrucomicrobia bacterium (freshwater metagenome) tRNA-Leu". It matches the Rfam family "tRNA". From Rfam's summary of the family: Transfer RNA (tRNA) molecules are approximately 80 nucleotides in length. Their secondary structure includes four short double-helical elements and three loops (D, anti-codon, and T loops). Lineage: Bacteria; Pseudomonadati; Verrucomicrobiota. The record is from RNAcentral.